RNAcentral lists this ribosomal RNA (253 nucleotides) under uncultured bacterium. RNAcentral describes it as "partial 16S ribosomal RNA". It matches the Rfam family "Bacterial small subunit ribosomal RNA", at positions 524 to 776 of the family's 1533-position model. The record is from RNAcentral.
UACAGAGGGGGCAAGCGUUGUUCGGAAUUACUGGGCGUAAAGGGCGCGUAGGCGGCCAACUAAGUCAGACGUGAAAUCCCCAGGCUCAACCUGGGAACUGCGUCUGAUACUGGAUGGCUCGAGUUCGGGAGAGGGAAGUGGAAUUCCAGGUGUAGCGGUGAAAUGCGUAGAUAUCUGGAGGAACACCGGUGGCGAAGGCGGCUUCCUGGACCGACACUGACGCUGAGGCGCGAAAGCCAGGGGAGCAAACGGG